This 28-nucleotide non-coding RNA is filed under the name Mus musculus (house mouse). Lineage: Eukaryota; Metazoa; Chordata; Mammalia; Rodentia; Muridae. The record is from RNAcentral.
GAGACUGUCCACCGGCUGUGUGGGGAGU